Long non-coding RNA from Lolium perenne, 428 nucleotides. RefSeq lists it as uncharacterized. Lineage: Eukaryota; Viridiplantae; Streptophyta; Magnoliopsida; Poales; Poaceae. The record is from RefSeq and is a predicted model, not a curated record.
GUGGAGGAGCUGCUGGUGGUGGUGGAGGAGCUGCUGCUGGUGGACGAGCUGAGCUGCUGACGGAGGUGUUUGGCACGCUUCAAGGAUAUGGCGGCUCGAUCGUUGCUCGAUCCACUUAUUGAUCAGAAACAUCGUGCAUCGCACUUGGAGGCUGACCCGCAGAGCAUGGAGCCACUGCAGACCCGUACUCCAAAGAAGAACUGGAUGAUACACCCUCAAUGGGAAGACAGGUUGAAGUGGGCAGGACUACUACCUUUCGCUCGAUUAGUGGAGGCCCGAGAUCACAUUUCGCGCUCGAACUACGAUGUUGCUUUGAUCACCGCUUAGUGGAUCGAUGGAGGCCCGAGACCCACACGUUCCACUUUCGCUGGGGUGAGAUGGCGCCUACUCUACAGGACGUGUCUAUGUUGCUGGGCCUUCCGUUGGCA